RNAcentral lists this ribosomal RNA (216 nucleotides) under Glomeromycotina sp. Its description in RNAcentral is "partial small subunit ribosomal RNA". The stretch from base 40 to 216 matches the Rfam family "Eukaryotic small subunit ribosomal RNA", at positions 686 to 864 of the family's 1831-position model. Lineage: Eukaryota; Fungi; Glomeromycota. The record is from RNAcentral.
GGGUCAGUAGGCUGGUCGUGCCACCGGUACGUACUGGUCUCACUGAUUCCUCCUUCCUGAAGAACCUUAAUGCAAUUAAUUUGGUGUUGCGGGGAAACAGGACUGUUACUUUGAAAAAAUUAGAGUGUUUAAAGCAAGCUAACGCUUGAAUACAUUAGGAUGGAAUAAUGAAAUAGGACGAUCGAUCCUAUUUUGUUGGUUUCUAGGAUUGACGUA